UCUAAAUCCUUAUUUUCCAUUUGCUCUUGAUCUCUCUCUUCUAGGCUCUGCCAUGUCUACUGGUUCACUACGCACCUUCCUGGUUCUUUCGAUUUGCUUGUACCUUCAGGUCGUAAACUGUUUGAUGAAAUGCCUGUGUGUUGAUCCAUUCUCGCUGCUCUAUAUUCUGGCUGUUCAUGAAGCACCUGCCGUCCAAGCAUGGCACUUUGUGCGGUGACGGAAUGCUCCUGGAAGAAAACGAGGACAAGAACACCGCUGCCACAUUAAUUGAUACUGAGCUGGAUGAUGAAGCACUUAAGGCACAGUACUCGAAAGCUCACCCGUAUGGAGAGUGGCUCGAGAGACAGAAGAUGUACCUCAAAGACAUUGUAGAAUCUGUCCCAGAAACUGACAAAGUUGCUUGCAGCAUUUCUGGUUCACGUCACCUUCAUGAUAGGACCGUAUUAUCUGGUAGACUAUCAGGGUUAAAAUGCCAAUGAGGCUGAUGCUAUCGUUUCCUAAAGUGGCACCAUUGGAAUGGAUCAGCUGCAUUGGUAUCACAAUAUUUCACAGAUUGAAUCGUUCUGAGCAGUCAACAAAUGUCCUACAUUUCUAGCUAUAGCGAACACGGCAGAUUGAUUACGAGGAGUUGGUGCUCCUUCGUCUCUUCUCCCCUCAGCUAGGAGAUGUCAGCGAGAUAUCUUGCUUCAAUGAUGCACAAUCAAGAGAUGGUGGGGCCUUGUGACGUGUUUUCAGUGGUGGCUCCCUUGGCUGUGGGUGUCCUCGGCCAGAGCAGGGGCCUGUCAGCAACCUCGCCAUCUGGCUUGUUCAUAGAUGGAAAGAACCAUUCUUCCACUUCAUACAAUGCAGCUGUAGUGCUUCAACGUUUCACUUGCCAAGACACAAAGCUUUUUUACGUCUGUAAACAUAAAUACUACCAGCAGGCCCCUUGUAUAUACCGUCAAGAAUGCUGCCAAUUCGCCUACUGCAACUAAAGGUCGAGUACUGGGAAAUACCAAAUUGAGUGUUUUCUCCUCACUAGGUUGAGUAUAGGGAGAGACGCCGGAGGGCAGCAGCUGGAGCGUCACUUGAUAGUCAUCUUUGCAAAAACAGGUCCCUAUCAAAGUUCCUUCUUGGUUCUUGCCAUUGAUCUAUACUCAAACCUCUCCACUGAAGAAAUACAAGUGCUCUAUAAUGUGAUUUAUCCUUUCUGUACUUACGACUUUUCUCUAACAAUGAUUUGUGUGAGGUGCCAUUGAUGUUCAUUGUUUGUUUGGCAGAGGUUUAGUACCAAGGGAAAUAACCAUGUCAAGACAAAUCAAACGAAUUUAUUUUGUUCAGAAAAUCUAUUUUUUUAAUAUUUUAGCAAGUCUCGUGGCCGGCGGCGGGUUGCCUGUCUAUGGAAAA
Long non-coding RNA from Lolium rigidum, 1386 nucleotides. RefSeq lists it as uncharacterized. The record is from RefSeq and is a predicted model, not a curated record. The transcript has 8 exons. Lineage: Eukaryota; Viridiplantae; Streptophyta; Magnoliopsida; Poales; Poaceae.